UAGUAAUAAUAUAUAAUAUAAUCUGACCUAAAUUUCAAAAAAAAAAAAAAAGAAUCUGACCUAAAAAAUUUUAAACCUAAUAAUCAUUUCACUUUCUUCUCUUUCUCCUACAGUCGCUUUCAUCUCCUACCACCAGUCCUGAUCUUGAGCCCUUGCCGACCAAUCUAGAUCUUCAGUCGGCAGUCUACUUCAGUCACCUUAACAGUGCCCGUCUCUUCAGUCGCCUGAGAAAUCGACACCAUCUCUUCAGUCGACCAUCUCUUUAAUGCUUGUGGACAUGUUUGGCUGUAAUAAUUGGCGUUAAAGCUGCUUUUGAUUGUGGAACUGAAGUAAUCAAAAGUAGAGGUAAGAUAGAAGAUAGUAGUUUUUGGUGAAAAGGUUGCCAUUUGAUCAAUAGAAAAAAAAAAAAAAAGAGAGGAAAGACAACAAAAAUUGAAGUUGAUCGAUAUCAGUUGAAUUUUAACAUUUUAAGUUUAGCUAUUUAUAAAUAAAGUAUCACGAAUGCUUUAAUUUCAGGAUUAUACACAUAUUUUCUUUUGGUAUAUGCUUUUAAGUUACUCAAUUGAUGAAGAAGCUGUUAGAAA
Molecule: long non-coding RNA, 584 nt
Organism: Cannabis sativa
Lineage: Eukaryota; Viridiplantae; Streptophyta; Magnoliopsida; Rosales; Cannabaceae
Exons: 2
Source: RefSeq, a predicted model, not a curated record